CAGAUCGAUGCUCAUGCUGCUGAUCACUGGAUUGUCCGGUCCAGACUCGAUUAUUUACAGACUGCCGCCAUAUAGCUGGAAUAUUGCUGAGUGCGGCAUAAACCUAAACUCACUCCCUCACUAAACUUGCAUUUUUCUUUAUCGCUGAGUACAUGGUUUUAUGCUGCUUUGUACAUGUUACAUAUUACAACAUGCUAGCUUAGUGAGGGAAACCCCAGUGUCUUGCUAAUCAAAGAUGUUGACAGUUUUUGUGACAUCAGUAAGUGUGAGUAUGGUGGUGCUGACAGUGAAUCAUGGAUUCAAACCCGUGACCAUCACAUCCUGGCUCAACUAGGGGACAUAACAACCUAGAAACACAGUUGGGGUGAACCUAAAACUCAAACCCAAAAUUAUCAGAUGCUGGCACAGCCCACCAGAAACAUACCGGUAACCAAGAUGAUGGCGUAAGGCUUUAAACCCAAGAUCCUGCCACAGCUAAGGGAUGCCAAUGAGGUAAUAUUACAGUGCCUUAGUACAAGUCUGGGGAUGAUAAUUGUUUCUCUUAAACACUGUGUUAUCUUGUUUUGUUCCAUGGUAAACUGCAACUCCUAUGUUAUUUCAUAGGACACCAUGUAUAUAUUCCAUUGUUUAGUAACCUGUUCAACGUAUGUUUUGAACAUAUGUAAUAAGUACUUUUAAUGUCCAUUUUCGUAUCAAACUGGAAAUGUCCUUGUUUUGUUUUGACCACAGUGGAAUAAUCUAUUACCUAUCUCUUUGAAAUCAGAGCUUUUACUCUGAUGUAUUAUCUUUCUGUGUGAAGAUCCGACAGCGCCAUCAUAAUUGGUCAUAUCAUGUAAACUUUGUAAUCAGCCAAUCAACAUCAAGACUUUUCUUGGGACAAGGGUCAAACAUUGAGACAAGCAUGUUUGAUGUCUGUAUCUUUGAAAUGAAGUUAAUCAGCCUGUUCCAGAUGUAAAUGAUAAAGGCAGCACUAUUAUGUUGUUGUGUAUGUAUUUAGACACCAAGCCCUUCUGAUGGUUACAUACAAAAGAUAGUGCCAUCAAAGGAAAAAUUGUGUUCUGUGUGGGCUUUUCUUUGUAAUAUUUCAAAAUUUCCUGAAUUUAGUUUGAAAAAAAAUGCAGGAGCAUUUUAAAAAGAUGUUUUCUGAUUGACUUAAAGACCUGAGGCUCUUCAUUAGAUUAGGUUAUCAUAGUUCUCCCAGAUUUCACCUCCCAUGACCUUCUGUGGAGGUGUCUGUAGGUUUUCACAAAGAAACAACUAUUGUCAUAGAAAAUGAGAUUACCAGUAUAUUGAAAAUGUCCAUGUUUAGCCCUAUCCAUUGUGGUUUACUGUUCUACACCAGUGUUUUAGUGCCUUUCUCUAUAUGUAUGUGCCCAAGGGAUUAUGGUUAUGUUGCUUUAGUUCUCUGCCUUGUUAACUGUUGGUGAUUGGAUAUUCUACCAAGACCAUGAAGUGGGUAAAGGGGCAUUAUCUGAGACAUGUUGCAUGUAAAGUUUGAAGUUUGGAUCAUAAAUAUGGUCUUGGUCUUUUUAAGACAACUUCUGAACAAAUGAUACUGGGAAGAAGAACAUUCAAAAUAAGAGCUUUCACUGAAGUUAUUAGAUAAUGAGUUUUUAGGUCUGUUUGAGAUUCUGGAAUAUCAACUAUAGUUAAAUCCAUCAAGGCAGGGCUUCUUUGAGACUGAAAUUCAAAUCCAUCUAAUACAGAGAUCAAAGUAGUGGCAUUAUACUAAGAGAUAAAGAAAUGAAUCUAACUAAAAAAAAUUAAAAUGUAUUCUUAUUUUGUCAAGUUCUAUAUUCCAUAUUUUGGCCCAUAAAUGUGGUCCGGUAUUGACAGAAGUGUGGAUUAGUCAGAGGUAGUCUUGAGUAUUUGAGGCUGAAAUUGAAAUCCAUCGAAUACGGAGAUCAAUAGUAGUGGCAUUAUAGUAAGAACUAUUAAAUUUAACAAAUUUGUAAAAAUGUUAUUUUGUCAAGUAUAGUUUGGUCCUUAAAUGUGGUCCAGUAUUGACAGAAAUCUGGAUUAGUCAGGGGUCUGUCUAGACAUAUCUGACUUAAUGACAAACCCACCAGACAUUCACAUAGUAUCAGUCUCCAUUUUACUAAACGUUUUUAUGAUAGUUGUGGAACAGAUCCCUCUACACAUGAACAUGAUGCAAGGAAUAUGUCCAGCUAUUUUCACUUCCACUGUCAUUGUAGACUUAAGUAUGGUUCAUGUAUAUGUCUGUGAAAUAUAUUGGUGAUCUGUAGCACAUAUUCUGACAUGACAACUGAAAAGCUUCAGUUCCUUGUUUGUUCUGAUCAAUAUUUCAACUAAAAUGUGGGUUUUGUUAUGUUUUAUUAAAGACUUUUGUAUAACGUGUACCCUGACAUGUUGCCUCACAAUACCUAGUCAGUUGUAUAAAGGCUGUAGAUGAAUCAUGUAUUCAUUACAACACACCUUCUUCUAGAAGAUGAGAGACGAUCAAAUUGAUAUUUGUCUGAACAUGUUACUUUAUAAUGUGGAAGAUCUUUGAAUCAAUGAAUAACAGAGGAGCUUUUUACGUAUUGGUUUACUUACAACUGAAGGGUGGUGGGGUAGUCAAGUGGUUAAAGCAUUCACUCGUCACACUGAAAACCCGGGUUCGACUUCCCACACGAUGGGUACAAUGUGUGAAGCCCAGUCCUGGUGUCACGCGCCGUGAUAUUGCUGGAAUAUUGCUAAAAGCGGUGUAAUACCAUACUCACUCACACACUCUUUGUAUCAAUGAGUAACAGUGGACCUUUUCACUGUUUUACUUACAACUGAAGCAAGUGUAUCUAAAAUCACAAAAAGUACAUAUUUGAUACGGGAACCAGAGUUAGUGAGUGAGUAUUGUUUUACGCCCCUUUUAGCAAUAUUCCAGCAAUAUCACAGCAGGGGACACCAGAAAUGGGUUUCACACAAAGUGCCCAUAUUGGGGAAUCGAACCCAGGUCAUCAGCGUGAUGAGCGAACACAUUAACCACUGGGCUAUCCCACUGCCAUAUGUGAUACCAGAGCAUGACUUAAGGGAUGUGCAAGCUCUUUUCGUAUUUAUUUAAGAUCAACAUGUAACUUGUAUAAUAAUAUCUGUAGCUAGGGUGAUAAAUGUUUAAAAUCUUUGAAUGGCAUUAGGUUUUGGUACACAACAAAAGGGGAAAAUGUGACCACGUUAACAUUGGUAACACAACAUAUAUUCUUACUCCUUCAUCAGGAAAUCAUUUACCUCAUGGGGUAGAUAUAACAUUAGUUGUAUAGAUUAUCGGAUGCUCAAUGUAUAUGAUGUUGUUAUCAGCACUCAGUUGUGUGUUACCAGUGCUGAUGCUCAGAUCCACCACAGAUUUUAGGGGUUUACUCCAUGUUAUUGUUUAGUGAUUUCUGUUAUGAUGUACCCCAUGCCAAACUGCUGACAAGGAAUUCCUUAGAGGAUUUGUUGGACCAUUCCUUUAGAUGUGUAUUUUACUUUGAUUGACUGUUUUGUUUGUUCAAGCUGAGAUUGUGUGGAAGGUGCAAUAUAGCAAUAAUCUUAUGUACAGUCAUAGCACAUGGAUACUAACAGCAGAGGUGGACAAUGAUGUGAGGGCAAGUUAUAAAGUGUUCCUUAAAAGGUUGUUUCUUAGAACUAAGAUGCUCAAAAAUGUAUUAUUCUAUAACAUGCUAUUCCUCUAUGAAACUAUUUCUGGUGAUAAAUUUUAUUUUGUUUGCUGCUAAAUGCCCCACUCAGCAAUAUGUCAGCUACACAAUGGUGGUCUGUAAAUAAUCACAUCUGGACCAGACAAUCCAGUGAUUCACAUCAUACAUCAUUAGUAUGUAUCUUCGCAAUUGGGAUAUGUCGACAGGCAAUCAACAAAAUGAUGACAGUGUGAUCUAUUUAGUCUCCCAAAUCUACCAUCUCAUGGAAUCAACAUGGGAUUAUUCUCAUUUCUGCUAUGGCAAAGUCUCGUCAUUAAGGGUGAAUAUAUUCCCACUUGGAAUCUAUGUAUGCUUGGAAUGUUUUCAUUAAAGUUGAUUUAUGGCAGGGCAUUAUAACAUUAAUAUUGUUCAUUAUCUUCAGUAAAACACAUGCUAAAUAUGCAUUUUCCAGUAACAAAUAUCUGUUUGUUAGUAAACUAGUAGGGGCGGUAGCCUAGUGGUUAAAGCGUUCGCUCAUCAUGCUGGAGACCUGGGUUGAAUGUGUGAAGCCCAUUUCUGGUGUCCCCCGCCAUGAUAUUGCUGAAAUAUUGUUGAAAGUGGCAUAAAACCUAUAAACUUACUCAUUAGUAAAUUAGUGUAAUAUUUACUAAUUACUAACAGCAAGUUAAAAAUAAAAUACACAGAUGACAUACAUGGGGAAUUAACAUGUGUUAUGACAUAUCUGUUUUAUGGGGAAUAUAAGCCAAGUUGGUGAUACACCAGUGUGAUAUAUGUCAUCUAUGGUGGGGUAUAACAGUGUUAUAUCUGGUAGCUGUCCAGCAGAUCACCAUCUGUCUAAAAGCUGCCAGAAGGGAGAUCUCAUUAACUUGGACGACAAUGACAAAAUAUAUCAAAUUAGGUUCAUGUCAGGUGCAGGGAGACCAUCAAAUAACACCACUCUGUCCAAGUUAUGAUCAGGAAGCUUUUAAAAGGUGUCCAUUUUUUGCAAUAUCACUGGUCUAAUCAUGACAAUAUAGAGGUGAAAAUAAUAAACACUUUGUAAAGCACCAGUGCUGAAUGUCACAUUUUGUAUGUCGAAGUGCUAAACUAUGAUUGAUAAUAUGUCCAGGAAUGAUAUAAACAUAGCAAAUUUUAUAGUCUACGCAGGAUCACAAGCAGACUGAAAACAAUGGGUAGUUAUUACCCACUUCAUCACUGUCUGUGGAUCAUUAGCUGUGUUGAUUUAGACCUUGGUUAUUUAAUGUAUUGAACUUUAAAGAGCAUACUAGGUUACCACAAUUUGUUUUUAGUUCAUUGUGUUUCUCUAUUGUCGAAAUUCCAUAGACAUCCUUGAUUAUCCAGCAUAUUGUAUCUCUGUUUUAUAUUAAUAAAUAGUCUGAACCAACUCACCACCAUAGAUCCGAUUCAGAAGUGAAGUGAAUCACUCCAAGCUCUAACUUAACACAGAAUUUAUCUCAGUAAUGAGUGUAAUCUGUUUGGAUUGGUAUUUCCAGAUCAAGCUAUUUGUUUUGGGUUAGUGACACAAUGGUAGUGAAUGGUUCCAGGGUAUUUAUAAGGAUAGAGUUAUAUUACCCUGAAUGGUAGAGGAUGCCCCUUAGGUUAGUUUAAAGCAUUGGUCACAGAAUUUUAUUACUCAUGUAUUGUCAAACAUGGUGAUACUGCAGUAGUGUAUUAGCAGAUAGUGUUGUGUGACUGUCCAUCACAGUCUCCAUGUAUACAGUUCACUUGUCAUGACCACUUGCUGGAUACAGCUUUGCAAUAAACAGUAUGUACUUCUGUUA
Molecule: long non-coding RNA, 5410 nt
Organism: Haliotis rubra (blacklip abalone)
Lineage: Eukaryota; Metazoa; Mollusca; Gastropoda; Lepetellida; Haliotidae
Exons: 2
Source: RefSeq, a predicted model, not a curated record